Cinara cedri is the source of this 282-nucleotide non-coding RNA. NCBI's taxonomy places the organism in Eukaryota, Metazoa, Arthropoda, Insecta, Hemiptera, Aphididae. The record is from the annotation of a GenBank genome assembly.
CACAAAAAUUAUAUUAGAUUUUGAUUUUCAAUAAAUUUGACAAAAUUACCAUCGUACAGGCACUACAGACCUGUAUAAACUGAUAUUGAAAAAAAUUAUACAUCAUAGGCACCGAUUUUGAAAUAUAUAUCGUUACGAAUCGAUAGGACAAUAGAACUAAUGUAUGCGUAAUUUUAAAUACAAAUUAUUAUUAUUAUUAUUAUUUUUUUUUUUUUUAAAAACCGACAAUGUUUAACGAAUCGUCACAAUACAAACGCGCGGGCGGUGAUUGUUCGCGUUCGG